GUUGUAUAGUCAAGUAAUUAAGUGCAUGUGGUGGAUGCCUUGGCAGUCAGAGGCGAUGAAAGACGUGAUAGCCUGCGAAAAGCUCCGGGGAGGCGGCAAAUAUCCUUUGAUCCGGAGAUGUCUGAAUGGGGGAACCCACCUACUUUAAGGUAGGUAUUGCAACAUGAAUACAUAGUGUUGCAAGGCGAACGAGGGGAAGUGAAACAUCUCAGUACCCUUAGGAAAAGAAAUCAAUUGAGAUUCCCUCAGUAGCGGCGAGCGAACGGGGAUCAGCCCAUUAAGUUAUGUGUGUUUUAGUGGAACGCUCUGGGAAGUGCGAACGUAGAGGGUGAUAUUCCCGUACACGAAAGGGCACACAUAAUGAUGACGAGUAGGGCGAGGCACGUGAAACCUUGUCUGAAUAUGGGGGGACCAUCCUCCAAGGCUAAAUACUCCUGACUGACCGAUAGUGAACCAGUACCGUGAGGGAAAGGCGAAAAGAACCCCUGUGAGGGGAGUGAAAUAGAUCCUGAAACCGCAUGCAUACAAGCAGUGGGAGCACCUUCGUGGUGUGACUGCGUACCUUUUGUAUAAUGGGUCAGCGACUUAUAUUCAGUAGCGAGGUUAACCGUAUAGGGGAGCCGUAGGNNNNNNNNNNNNNNNNNNNNNNNNNNNNNNNNNNNNNNNNNNNNNNNNNNNNNNNNNNNNNNNNNNNNNNNNNNNNNNNNNNNNNNNNNNNNNNNNNGAGAAAUCGAGUCUUAAUAGGGCGUUUAGUUGCUGGGUAUAGACCCGAAACCAGGCGAUCUAUCCAUGAGCAGGUUGAAGGUUGGGUAACACUAACUGGAGGACCGAACCCACUGUCGUUGAAAAGCCAGGGGAUGACUUGUGGAUAGGGGUGAAAGGCUAAUCAAGCCUGGUGAUAGCUGGUUCUCCCCGAAAGCUAUUUAGGUAGCGCCUCGGACGAAUACCAUAGGGGGUAGAGCACUGUUUCGGCUAGGGGGUCAUCCCGACUUACCAAACCGAUGCAAACUCCGAAUACCUAUGAGUACUAUCCGGGAGACAGACUGCGGGUGCUAACGUCCGUAGUCAAGAGGAAAACAAUCCAGACCGCCAGCUAAGGCCCCAAAAUCAUAGUUAAGUGGGAAACGAUGUGGGAAGGCAUAGACAGCUAGGAGGUUGGCUUAGAAGCAGCCACCCUUUAAAGAAAGCGUAAUAGCUCACUAGUCGAGUCGGCCUGCGCGGAAGAUGUAACGGGGCUAAAACUAUGUGCCGAAGCUGCGGAUGUAUACUUUGUAUACGUGGUAGGGGAGCGUUCUGUAAGCCGAUGAAGGUGUGUUGAGAAGCAUGCUGGAGGUAUCAGAAGUGCGAAUGCUGACGUGAGUAACGACAAAACGGGUGAAAAACCCGUUCGCCGAAAGACCAAGGGUUCCAGUCCAACGUUAAUCGGGGCUGGGUGAGUCGACCCCUAAGGCGAGGCCGAAAGGCGUAGUCGAUGGGAAAAUGGUUAAUAUUCCAUUACUUCUGUGUAAUGCGAUGAGAGGACGGAGAAGGCUAAAUCAGCCUGGCGUUGGUUGUCCAGGUGAAAGGAUGUAGGCAUGUAUCUUAGGCAAAUCCGGGGUACUCUAUGCUGAGAUCUGAUAGCAAGCUGUACUUGUACAGCGAAGUGGUUGAUGCCAUGCUUCCAGGAAAAGUCUCUAAGCUUCAGUUACACAGGAAUCGUACCCGAAACCGACACAGGUGGUCAGGUCGAGUAGACCAAGGCGCUUGAGAGAACUCUGCUGAAGGAACUAGGCAAAAUGGUACCGUAACUUCGGGAGAAGGUACGCUGUUGUUGGUGAUGGAACUCGCUUCCUGAGCUGACGACAGCCGCAGAAACCAGGCCGCUGCAACUGUUUAUUAAAAACAUAGCACUCUGCAAACACGAAAGUGGACGUAUAGGGUGUGAUGCCUGCCCGGUGCUGGAAGGUUAAUUGAUGGGGUUAGCGUAAGCGAAGCUCUUGAUCGAAGCCCCAGUAAACGGCGGCCGUAACUAUAACGGUCCUAAGGUAGCGAAAUUCCUUGUCGGGUAAGUUCCGACCUGCACGAAUGGCAUAAUGAUGGCGGCGCUGUCUCCAGCAGAGGCUCAGUGAAAUCGAAAUCGCUGUGAAGAUGCAGUGUACCCGCGGCUAGACGGAAAGACCCCGUGAACCUUUACUGCAGCUUGACACUGAACUUUGACCUUACUUGUGUAGGAUAGGUGGGAGGCUUUGAAGCUGGAACGCUAGUUCCAGUGGAGCCGUCCUUGAAAUACCACCCUGGUAAUGUUGAGGUUCUAACUCUGUCCCGUGAUCCGGGACGAGGACCGUGUCUGGUGGGUAGUUUGACUGGGGCGGUCUCCUCCUAAAGAGUAACGGAGGAGUACGAAGGUGCGCUCAGCGUGGUCGGAAAUCACGCGUAGAGUAUAAAGGCAAAAGCGCGCUUAACUGCGAGACCCACAAGUCGAGCAGGUACGAAAGUAGGUCUUAGUGAUCCGGUGGUUCUGUAUGGAAGGGCCAUCGCUCAACGGAUAAAAGGUACUCUGGGGAUAACAGGCUGAUACCGCCCAAGAGUUCAUAUCGACGGCGGUGUUUGGCACCUCGAUGUCGGCUCAUCUCAUCCUGGGGCUGAAGCAGGUCCCAAGGGUAUGGCUGUUCGCCAUUUAAAGAGGUACGCGAGCUGGGUUUAGAACGUCGUGAGACAGUUCGGUCCCUAUCUACCGUGGGCGCUGGAAAUUUGAGAGGAUCUGCUCCUAGUACGAGAGGACCAGAGUGGACGAACCUCUGGUGUACCGGUUGUGACGCCAGUCGCAUCGCCGGGUAGCUAUGUUCGGAAGGGAUAACCGCUGAAAGCAUCUAAGCGGGAAGCCUACCUCAAGAUAAGAUUUCCCUAGGACUUUAUGUCCUCUAAAGAGCCGUUCGAGACUAGGACGUUGAUAGGUUGGAUGUGGAAGCAUAGUGAUAUGUGAAGCUGACCAAUACUAAUUGCUCGUGAGGCUUGACUAUACAACACCCAAGCAGUUG
Molecule: ribosomal RNA, 3017 nt
Filed under: Acinetobacter baumannii
Lineage: Bacteria; Pseudomonadati; Pseudomonadota; Gammaproteobacteria; Moraxellales; Moraxellaceae
Description: 23S ribosomal RNA
Rfam family: Bacterial large subunit ribosomal RNA
Source: RNAcentral